AUUAUCAGGAGUUAAUUCUAUUUAUUGAAAUAAUGACAAAAUAAAUACAAUUUAAGCCUAAAUGCCCAAGCGCACACAUUCGUUCUGACUGUCUGAGCAGACAAACAGCCUCACCUGUUCCUAUCAAUCAGACACGCAGUGUCAACCAAUGAACCAAAGAUGCGUGAGGGAGGGCUGAGCCAACUCACUCAGUCACACACUUAGCAGCCGAGGAGAGAGAGGUGUCUAGCUGUCUUCUGGACUGCUUUGAGUUCAACGACAGACACACCUCAGAACUUUGCAGAGGAACUGUUGAGUGGCCAGAGAAUGGCAAGUAGAUGGAAAAGUGGUCUGUUAUGUUAUUGUCUAAUGCAGCUAACAUAAACUUUCAUGGCUUUGGUUUUUAAAAUGGACCCAUCAUCCAUGUCUUGACCACACAAUCAACCUGAUGUAAGAGAUGUUCUGAAGGUGAUGAAGCCCACUGUGGACGAAGUGAAAGCAGCUGUGGAAUACUUCCACAGGACCACAGUAGGUGCUGAAAAACGGAAGUCUACACAACGCCAGAUGGGGAUGCCUGAGCUGAGGCCUAAACAAGACUGCACUACAAGGUGGAAUUCAACAUUUUAUAUGUUGAAGAGGUUUCUUGAGUCAAAGGAUGUCAUGAUCUCUACCCUGGCCAUUGUCAAUGCACCUGUUGAUGCUCUGACCCAAGAGGAAUGGGAGGUGUGCAGAGUCCUGGAACCCUUUGAGCAGGUCACUGUGGAGAAAGAGCUAUGCGACAGUCUCAAAAAUGAUACUCCUGUGUAAAGGUCUCCAGCGAAUCACAGCCAGCCGCCAGAGAGGAGAAGCAAAUGUAACCACAGGACGUGACCGAGUUGACGGACAUGCUAUGUUCAUCAAUGGACAGAAAGUCCUCUUAUUUGGAGGAGCCCCUCCAAAGAUCUGCAGAUCCUCUGAGCUGGUGGAAGGACAAGGCCUCUGUCUUCCCACUGCUUCCUAAAGUCAUGACAGGGAGACUCAGCAUAGUGGCCACAUCUCACAAUCUCUCAUAAUAGCAAAAUAUGGUCAGCAUUGCUGUGUGCUGCUGGUAAUAACAUGGCAAUAAAGAAGAGAGAGAAAAAAGGGACAAGUUUAAUGUUUUAAGUGGGAUGCUGCAGUUUUGCACGUUAUUUAUUUUUCUUUAUGGUGCAAUAUUCUAUUAUGCUGUUCAGAUUAUAUUAGUUUUGAAUGGUUAUACUUUAAAUGCAAAUGUUUAUAGCAUUCUUUUUCAUAACAAACCAAUGCAUUUUUAAAUACAUUGUGGUCAAGGUAGAGUGAUUUCAUUUAAUAAUUGAAUUAGAAUUAACACCAAUCAUAGUCAAACUAUCGCAAACUGUUUGACUUGAAAAAAUACAAAACUUAUUUUUUUUAAAGAGACGGCUCUUUUUGGUGAGCUGAGCCGAACAAGACGGCUCACUGAAAAGAGUCGGAAUGCCCAUCACUAGUGUGGGGGUGCUGCCAAAUGUUUAUCUAGGCUACACCUGCGGAUGUCCCUACAAAAUCAUCCUGUUGUACCGCAUUUGGGUAUUUUAAAUGUAGUCUCUAAUACAAACGAAUACUAUCAGUUUACAGAGUCACGUUUAAUAAUAACCAUCAUUGUUUUCUAAUCCUUUUCUGUUGCAUGUAAAUCCGUUUUUAUACAUGCUUGUGGCGUUAAAGCGCUUAAUUAUUUUUUUUGCACGUCGAUAAUCUUUGUUUGUUGCUAUGGUCACCGGCGGCUGUCGCCCUCUUGUGUGAAGACGCUAGCAGCUUUGACUAGACAAGGGACAAGUGGUGUACUCGGUUGGGAACUCGUCGAUAUUCCGCUGGUUGCCUGAAAAACUCUUGAAUCCUGUUCUGUACUAAACCUGUAGCUACAGGAUGGACCUAUUUCAUGAGCUUCAUUUCCACAAGAGCAUCAAACCAAACCCUGGAGUGAUGUCUGAGAUGUAUCAUUUUUAGAGAAAAGACAACCACCUCCCCUCUGUAGUGUGGAGGGGGUGACGCACCAUUAAAACAGCACGAGAAGCCUG
This is a long non-coding RNA of Salmo salar (Atlantic salmon), 2030 nucleotides long. RefSeq lists it as uncharacterized. The record is from RefSeq and is a predicted model, not a curated record. Lineage: Eukaryota; Metazoa; Chordata; Actinopteri; Salmoniformes; Salmonidae.